UAUCAUGACCUCUACUUAUCCUAGGCAGCCUUAGUACAAAGUCCAUAGAGAUGUCUACCCACGAGGCAGUGGGUAUAGGUAGCGUGGUGUAUAAACCAUAAGGCAUCAUUCUAGAUUUGGCUUGCUUACAUGUGAUACACUGGCUAUAGAUACACUCGACAUCCCUCAUAUUUAGUCAAUAGAAGUGUUCUUAUAUCAUGUCUAGGAUUUGUGCUACCCCAAAAUGUCCGAUGAGUCCCCCACUAUGCGCUUCCCAUACUAAUAGUUUCUUGAUGGAACAACUUGGUAUACAGAGUCUGUUUUCCCUUUAGGAGAAAUCCAUUACUCUGGUGAUACUUUUGGAAAGCAUAGUGCUCACUAGCUUUAUAAACAAAGAAAAAAUCUUUAUCAUUGACGUACAUCUCCUUUAUGUGCUCAAACACUAAUAAUUUAGAGCUUAAGUAAGGGAAAGACAACAUUCUUGCAGAUGUAUUAUCUCGAAGGUAUGUACUCCUAUCAAUAUAAGGGAACGUUUAUAUGAACUAUGCCAACUUAUCGUGUCAGUGGUUGAGCUGACCUUGGCCCUUUAAAUGCUUAAGGGAUU
This 583-nucleotide long non-coding RNA is filed under the name Carica papaya (papaya). RNAcentral describes it as "long non-coding RNA (CPAP_LNC014581)". Lineage: Eukaryota; Viridiplantae; Streptophyta; Magnoliopsida; Brassicales; Caricaceae. The record is from RNAcentral.